Molecule: ribosomal RNA, 253 nt
Filed under: uncultured bacterium
Lineage: Bacteria
Description: partial 16S ribosomal RNA
Rfam family: Bacterial small subunit ribosomal RNA
Source: RNAcentral
GACAUAGGUGGCGAACGUUAUCCGGAAUUAUUGGGCGUAAAGGGCUCGUAGGCGGUUUGUCGCGUCGGGAGUGAAAUCCACUGGCUUAACUGGUGGCUUGCUUUCGAUACGGGCAGACUGGAGGUAUGCAGGGGAGAACGGAAUUCCUGGUGUAGCGGUGAAAUGCGCAGAUAUCAGGAGGAACACCGGUGGCGAAGGCGGUUCUCUGGGCAUGUCCUGACGCUGAGGAGCGAAAGUGUGGGGAGCGAACAGG